UUACGGCCACAUCACGUUGGAACACCGGUUCCCGUACGAUCACUGAAGUUAAACAACGUCGAGCCUGGUCAGUAACUAGAUGGGUAACCACUUGGGAAUACCGGGUGCUGUAAG
Molecule: non-coding RNA, 114 nt
Organism: Acanthosepion pharaonis
Lineage: Eukaryota; Metazoa; Mollusca; Cephalopoda; Sepiida; Sepiidae
Source: the annotation of a GenBank genome assembly